RNAcentral lists this ribosomal RNA (253 nucleotides) under uncultured bacterium. RNAcentral describes it as "partial 16S ribosomal RNA". It matches the Rfam family "Bacterial small subunit ribosomal RNA", at positions 524 to 776 of the family's 1533-position model. The record is from RNAcentral.
GACAGAGGGUGCAAACGUUGCUCGGAAUUACUGGGCGCAAAGCGCGUGUAGGCGGGUCGGAAAGUCGGGCGUGAAAUCCCCAGGCUCAACCUGGGAACUGCACUCGAAACUUCCGGUCUAGAGUGGUGGAGAGGGAAGUGGAAUUCCUGGUGUAGAGGUGAAAUUCGUAGAUAUUAGGAGGAACACCAGUGGCGAAGGCGGCUUCCUGGACACCAACUGACGCUGAGACGCGAAAGCGUGGGGAGCAAACAGG